GUGGGGAAUCUUGCGCAAUGGGCGAAAGCCUGACGCAGCCAUGCCGCGUGAAUGAUGAAGGUCUUAGGAUUGUAAAAUUCUUUCACCGGGGACGAUAAUGACGGUACCCGGAGAAGAAGCCCCGGCUAACUUCGUGCCAGCAGCCGCGGUAAUACGAAGGGGGCUAGCGUUGCGCGGAAUUACUGGGCGUAAAGGGCGCGUAGGCGGAUCGUUAAGUCAGGGGUGAAAUCCCAGAGCUCAACUCUGGAACUGCCCUUGAUACUGGCGAUCUUGAGUGUGAGAGAGGUAUGUGGAACUCCGAGUGUAGAGGUGAAAUUCGUAGAUAUUCGGAAGAACACCAGUGGCGAAGGCGACAUACUGGCUCAUUACUGACGCUGAGGCGCGAAAGCGUGGGGAGCAAACAGGAUUAGAAACCCCUGUAGUCC
This 425-nucleotide ribosomal RNA is filed under the name uncultured bacterium. RNAcentral's name for it is "partial 16S ribosomal RNA". It matches the Rfam family "Bacterial small subunit ribosomal RNA", at positions 354 to 796 of the family's 1533-position model. The record is from RNAcentral.